Molecule: long non-coding RNA, 4714 nt
Organism: Homo sapiens (human)
Lineage: Eukaryota; Metazoa; Chordata; Mammalia; Primates; Hominidae
Exons: 2
Source: RefSeq, a predicted model, not a curated record
CUUCUUGGCAUCACCAGUUAAAAGAGAUUGAGAACAAGAACGUUCUUUCAGCGUGCCCACACCCCUGCCUGGCUUAACGGGUUUGAAAUGUGAGGGGAAGCCAAGUAGCCAGCUUGCCUCUGUUACUCAUGGCCCAGUGGGUCGGCUCAUGACCCUCAGGCCAGCCUGUGCCACUUUGGUGACUGGUGGCUACUUUGUGGUCAACUCUUGAAGCAUCAGCACAGCAUGAACAAACCAAAAGUGAAAUUCAGAAAUGGCUGCAGAAGCCAAACUGUUACCCAGCCCCUCUGAAAUCCCCCAAGCACUGGGGGAGCCACAACCAGUUUGGGGGCCAUUAGGAACAUUUUAAUCUAUAAGGCUAUGUGCUAUGGAGGGGUAGGGGAGAGAUGGUUGCAGGAGGCCAUGGGAGGGUUGAGACCCACAGGCCAGAGUCCAGGCCAUAAGACCCUCAUGAUGAGAAUGUUGACAAUAACAAAAUACUACUACUACUACUGCUGCUACUACUACUGCUGCUGCUGCUGCUGCUGCUGCUGCUGCUACUACUGCUACUACUUACGUUUUAACAUUUUUCAGAGCUUUGCUAUUUAUGAUUAUUCUGUCCUAGAUGAUUGCAGCAACAUUAUGAAGUACGUCUCAGGUUGAGUCCCCUAGAAACAGACCCUGAGAUGGAGAUUUGCAUGUAGGGGUUCGUUGGGGAGGGGAUCUUGGGAGUCCCACCUGGGAAGGGUAAGAGAGCAGUGGGGCUUUGAUGCUGCUGCAACAGAGGCCUCCACUGGCCCCUGGGGAGCUUGGAGCUUUGGAAACCUGCAGAGUUGAAGCAAGGGUUCCCCGUGUCCCUUCCAUAGGCUGCUCAUUAGACCAGCGGGGGGUUUGGUGAGGAUGCAGAAGGCGCUCAGCCACCAGUGUGGAAGGGGUACCCUGGCCUUGGAGCAGAAUCUGAAGAGGACACUGAGCACCCACCACACAUGGGCACUCUCAGGAUCUCUGCUACAGAGCAGGUGCUGAGUAGUGAGAUUUGCCCAGGGAAUGAGCCUACCUGGUGGGAUCAUCAUGUGGACCUGGAGGUCCUGACUUACUCAAGACCACUCAGCUACUAAGUGGCCACACUGGGAUUCCAGCUAAAGACUGUUUUAGGUUAGAGCUUCCUGAUCUCAGAAUGGACCCCCUGACCUAAGAAUAGGACCCCCCCCCACCUCAGGAUGGACUCCCCAACAUUAGAAUAAACUCUCUGACCUCAGAAUGAAUUCCUGGGCCUAAGAAUGAACUUUCUGACCUCAGAAUGGAUUCCCUGACCUCAGAAUAGACUCUCUGACCUCAGAAUGGACCCCCUGACCUAAGAAUAAAUCCCCCACCUAAGAAUGAACCUCCAACCUGAGAAUGAACUCCCGAAGCAAUAAUGGAUUCCCUAACCUAAGAAUAGACUCUUCAACCUAAGAAUAAACUUCCUGACCCAAGCAUGAAUCCCCUGACCUAAUAAUAGACUCCCCAACCUAAACAGGAACUUCCUGACCUAGGAAUGAACUGCCUGACCUCAGAAUGAACUUCUUUACUUAAGAAUGAACUUUCUGCCAUCAGAAUGGACCCUUGACCUCAGAAUGAACUCCCCGACCUCAGAAUGAACUCCCUGACCUCAGAAUGGACUCCCUGACCUCAGAAUGGACUCUCUGACCUCAGAAUGAACUCUCUGAACUCAGAAUGAACUCUCUGAACUCAGAAUGAACUCCCUGACCUCAGAAUGGAUUCCCCGACCUAAGAAUGGACUCCCUGACCUAGGAAUGAACUCUCUGACCUCAGAAUGAACUUUCUGAACUCAGAAUGGACUUCCUGACCUCAGAAUGGAUUCCCUGACCUAAGAAUGAACUCCUUGAUCAUUUUGCAGGUGAUGCUCGGGAGCACCAGUAGGGAGUGGGAAAGCAAACAGGGAAGGGAAAGAAGGCCAGCCAGGCACAGUGGCUCAUGCCCAUAAUUCCAGCACUUUGGGAGGCCAAGGUGGGUGGAUCACCUGAGGUCAGGAGUUUGAGACCAGCUUGGCCAACGUGGUGAAACCCCAUCUCUACUAAAAAUACAAAAAUUAGCCAGACGUGGUGGUGCACACCUGUAAUUCCAUCUACUUGGGAGGCUGAGGCAGGAAAAUUGCUGGAAUCUGGGAGGUGGAGGUUGCAGUGAACCAUGAUCAUGCCACUGCACUCCAGCCUGGGCGACAGUGACACUCUAUCUCAAAAAAAAAAAAAAAAAGAAAGAAAGGAGGCACUGGGAAUGCUGAGGGGCUCUGGCAAAUGGUGAUUAUCUAUCCAGAGCCCUUUCUGAAGCAUUGCUCUGCAGACCCGCCAGCCAGGGUUUUCAUUAAGUAGCAUUAAGUCAUAACCUUAAGUAAUAAAGCAAGCAUGCAUAGAAGGGCAAAGCCAGUCACUUCUCAGACCCCGAACCCCUCAGUGAAGGUUGGUGCAUGCAACGGGCUGGCCCUUUGGUGGAGACUGAAGAAAGAGUUUAUUGCAGGUGGGAAUAUUAUUUAAACAGGGAUUGAUGGAGGACAAAAGGGGCUUCUGGUUCCAUGAGGCAGGAGAUAAAUGAGAUGGGAAUCCUGAGUCAUGCAUUUUAUUCACUUCUCUGGAACGAGUUUUGGGGGCUCAUUUAGCAGAGAAAAUAGGACAAGAAAAAUGGACUCAGCUGGCAUUGGACAGAGUCAAAGCCAAAUGACUUCUGGGUUCUAAAUUUUUUUGUUUUGUCUUUAUUCAUACGUGUUGGUUGUUUGGAUUGUUUUUCAUUGACCAUUGUAAGCUAAAUCCAUAUCAGGAGGAUCUGAAAAGCUCAUAAUAAAAAUAUAAAGUAGAGACCAAGGGUUGUAAAAGUGGCAUUUUACUCAAGAUAUAGUAAGGCUGUUUUACAAUAGUGGGUAGUAAUCAAUAAUUUAAAUGAAAACCCUCAAGGGUUAGAUGAUGAUAGAGCUGAUGUUCUUCUUAUUGACCAAGAUGCACCAACCAGUCUUGAAGAGGAUCUCGUUUUGUAAAGGAGCCAUGCAGAAGAAGAAUUCCCAGAGGGAGCCUAAUGUCUGUGAAAUGUCAUAUAUUGCUUACACAGAAACCAGUUACUCAAAGAGCUAUGCUGUUCUUAUGCCCUGUGAUGGAUCUACUGGGGAUAGAGAUAAGAGCCUGUCUGCCUGCCUCAGCCUGUGCACCUGAUCGUUCUUUUCCUGAAGCAACUUGUCAUGCCUUCACAGUGCACACCUGACCAGUUCCAAACCAAAAAGGGAUGUGCCUGGACGUGUGUGGAUAGAUGGCUGAGGGAGACAUUAUUGUUGUUGUUGAGCCUCCAUCAUCUCUCACCUGGACUGGUGCAGUCUUCUCCAAGGUAAAGAUGGCUAAUGGUCUCCCGCAUUCAUCCCCCUUUUUCCUUAGGAACAGAACUCCCGAUUAUUUUGAAGUGGGAGGGCACAUGGUAGCUCAGAAUACAGACCUGCAUUUGCCAGCCUCCCCUGGAGCUCUGGCCAAUAGGAAAUAAACAGAAGUGUCCUAUACGACUUCUAGGAAAUACACUUAAAAGGACAGAAUGGGUUCUUCUUUGACCUUUCCUUACAGCAGCUUGCUGGAAUGCAGGCGUGCUGGCUGGGACUGAACCACCCUCUGGGACUGUGAGGCAGCAAUGUUGGAUGGCGGGGAAGCAGGCUGGAAGAAAAUUUAAGGUCUCCAUUACCAGCCUCAAUCGGCCUAUCUCUAUACUUGGUUUACAUUAGAGAGAGAAGCAACUGUGUUACUGAAGUCAUUGUUAUUUGGGAAUUUUGGCCCCAUGCAGCUGAUCCUAAUUAGCUACAUCUCUGAUAUAGUUUCCUGCCCCUGCCCUUACCCAACCCCCUCAUUUUUUAUUUCCAACAUAGCAACCACAGUGGUUCUUUAGAAACUUGUCAGUCCCCCCCAGCUCAAACCCUCCUUUGGCUUCCCGCUCACUCUGACUAUAAGCCAAAAUCGAAUCAAAGCCAAGUCCCUGCAUGGCAUGCACCUUCCAUCUCCCCACCUCAUCUUCUCCCCCUUGUACCCUUGUUCACACCAAUUCAGCUCCAGUGCCCUGUUUGCUGUUCUCAGAGCAAGCUGUGUUUGCGCCUUUCCCAGGGCUGAGGGUUAGAGGUUAGCUGUUCUUGCAGUGGACGCUGACAGGGCUGGCUUUCUCUUUUCAUCCUAGUUUCUGCUCAAAUGUCACCUCAUCUGAGAGACCUUCCCUGACCCUCCUACCUAAAACAGCUCACACCUUCCCCAUCCCUCUCUAGCUGAGUGCCUUUUUUCUCUACACGUGAUAAGGACAGGAGACAGGGAAAUACUGAGAAGUGGGCGGUUCCCCAGCAAAGAUCCCACCCUCAAGCCUGGAAACCCGUGGCCCUAAAUGGGAACAGCCCUUCCUGUUUUCAAGCCCAAAAGUUGCCUUUUGGCCUGCUGUGCCCCCCUAUCCUGUACUUGUACAAACCCCAGACCCUAGGCUUCAGAAGCAGACGAGGGAACGAGCAGAAGAACAGAAGAACAGCAGAAUGGCAUGGCAGAGAGAAGAAAGGGACCAUCUGAACGCCAAGAGAAAUUCAGCUGGGGGAGGUCAGAGAGGAGAUAGACUGCAGGACAGCCAAGCUCCAGGGGAAGAUCAUCUUCCCACUCCAUCCCCUUUCCAGCUCCCCAUCCAUCCCGCUGAGAGCCACCUCCACCACUCAAUAAAACCCUGCAUUCACCAUCCUCAA